UACAGAGGGUGCGAGCGUUGUCCGGAAUUACUGGGCGUAAAGGGCGCGUAGGCGGCAAUUCAAGUCAGCUGUGAAAUCUCCGGGCUUAACUCGGAACGGUCAGCUGAUACUGCUUUGCUAGAGUGCAGAAGGGGCAAUCGGAAUUCUUGGUGUAGUGGUGAAAUGCGUAGAGAUCGGGAGAAACACCCGUGGCGAAGGCGGCCAGCUGGGAUACACCUGACGCUGAGGCACGAAGGCGUGGGGAGCGAACGGG
This 253-nucleotide ribosomal RNA is filed under the name uncultured bacterium. RNAcentral's name for it is "partial 16S ribosomal RNA". It matches the Rfam family "Bacterial small subunit ribosomal RNA", at positions 524 to 776 of the family's 1533-position model. The record is from RNAcentral.